This 500-nucleotide ribosomal RNA is filed under the name uncultured bacterium. RNAcentral describes it as "bacterial SSU rRNA". It matches the Rfam family "Bacterial small subunit ribosomal RNA", at positions 19 to 518 of the family's 1533-position model. The record is from RNAcentral.
CUGGCUCAGGAUGAACGCUGGCGGCGUGCUUAACACAUGCAAGUCGAGCGAAGCGCCCGAGUUGAUUCUUCGGAUUGAAACAAGGGAUGACUGAGCGGCGGACGGGUGAGUAACGCGUGGGUAACCUGCCUCAUACAGGGGGAUAACAGUUAGAAAUGACUGCUAAUACCGCAUAAGCGCACAGUACGGCAUCGUACAGUGUGAAAAACUCCGGUGGUAUGAGAUGGACCCGCGUCGGAUUAGCCAGUUGGCGGGGUAACGGCCCACCAAAGCGACGAUCCGUAGCCGGCCUGAGAGGGCGACCGGCCACAUUGGGACUGAGACACGGCCCAAACUCCUACGGGAGGCAGCAGUGGGGAAUAUUGCACAAUGGGGGAAACCCUGAUGCAAGCGACGCCGCGUGAGUGAUGAAGUAUUUCGGUACGUAAAGCUCUAUCAGCAGGGAAGAAGACGACGGUACCUGACUAAGAAGCCCCGGCUAACUACGUGCCAGCAGCUGC